Molecule: ribosomal RNA, 497 nt
Filed under: uncultured bacterium
Lineage: Bacteria
Description: partial 16S ribosomal RNA
Rfam family: Bacterial small subunit ribosomal RNA
Source: RNAcentral
GAUGAACGCUGGCGGCGUGCCUAAUACAUGCAAGUCGAGCGAACAGACGAGGAGCUUGCUCCUCUGACGUUAGCGGCGGACGGGUGAGUAACACGUGGAUCACCUACCUAUAAGACUGGGAUAACUUCGGGAAACCGGAGCUAAUACCGGAUAAUAUAUUGAACCGCAUGGUUCAAUAGUGAAAGACGGCUUUGCUGUCACUUAUAGCUGGAUCCGCGGCGCAUUAGCUAGUUGGUAAGGUAACGGCUUACCAAGGCGACGAUGCGUAGCCGACCUGAGAGGGUGAUCAGCCACACUGGAACUGAGACACGGUCCAGACUCCUACGGGAGGCAGCAGUAGGGAAUCUUCGGCAAUGGGCGAAAGCCUGACGGAGCAACGCCGCGUGAGUGAUGAAGGUCUUCGGAUCGUAAAACUCUGUUAUUAGGGAAGAACAAAUGUGUAAGUAACUAUGCACGUCUUGACGGUACCUAAUCAGAAAGCAACGGCUAACUACGUG